CAAUUUUUUUUGAGAGUUUGAUCCUGGCUCAGGAUGAACGCUGGCGGUAUGCCUUAAGCAUGCAAGUCGAACGCUUGUGUGGAGCACAAGGAAUUCAAAAGUCAAAGGUCAAGAGGUAAAAGUUAAAUGUAAAAAGUAAUAAGCGAGGCAACUUUUAGAUUUUAAUUUUCAAUUUUGAAUUUCUCGUGCUCUGCACGAGAGUGGCGGACGGGUGAGUAAUAGUAAGGAACGUACCCAGAAGUGGAGGAUAGCUCGCCGAAAGGCGGGGUAAGCCUGCAUGUGCUCGCAAGAGUAAAAACGCAAGUUGCUUCUGGAGCGGCCUUAUUCCUAUCAGCUAGUUGGUGAGGUAACGGCUCACCAAGGCGAUGACGGGUAGGGGGUGUGAGAGCACGGCCCCCAAC
Molecule: ribosomal RNA, 401 nt
Filed under: Patescibacteria group bacterium
Lineage: Bacteria
Description: bacterial SSU rRNA
Rfam family: Bacterial small subunit ribosomal RNA
Source: RNAcentral